This 443-nucleotide ribosomal RNA is filed under the name uncultured bacterium. RNAcentral describes it as "partial 16S ribosomal RNA". It matches the Rfam family "Bacterial small subunit ribosomal RNA", at positions 338 to 795 of the family's 1533-position model. The record is from RNAcentral.
CCUACGGGCGGCAGCAGUGGGGAAUAUUGGACAAUGGGGGGAACCCUGAUCCAGCGACGCCGCGUGAGUGAAGAAGUAUUUCGGUAUGUAAAGCUCUAUCAGCAGGGAAGAAAGAAAUGACGGUACCUGACUAAGAAGCCCCGGCUAACUACGUGCCAGCAGCCGCGGUAAUACGUAGGGGGCAAGCGUUAUCCGGAAUUACUGGGUGUAAAGGGAGCGUAGACGGUUAAGUAAGUCUGGAGUGAAAGGCCGGGGCCCAACCCCGGGACUGCUCUGGAAACUAUUGAACUUGAGUGCAGGAGAGGUAAGCGGAAUUCCUAGUGUAGCGGUGAAAUGCGUAGAUAUUAGGAGGAACACCAGUGGCGAAGGCGGCUUACUGGACUGUAACUGACGUUGAGGCUCGAAAGCGUGGGGAGCAAACAGGAUUAGAUACCCGUGUAGUC